GGGGAUGUAGCUGAGUGGUAGAGCAUUUGUUUAGCAUGUGCAGGGCCCUGGGUUCAAUCCCCAGUACUGCCA
This 72-nucleotide transfer RNA is filed under the name Neotoma lepida (desert woodrat). It matches the Rfam family "tRNA". Rfam says of the family: Transfer RNA (tRNA) molecules are approximately 80 nucleotides in length. Their secondary structure includes four short double-helical elements and three loops (D, anti-codon, and T loops). Lineage: Eukaryota; Metazoa; Chordata; Mammalia; Rodentia; Cricetidae. The record is from Rfam by way of RNAcentral.